This 126-nucleotide ribosomal RNA is filed under the name Helianthus annuus (common sunflower). Lineage: Eukaryota; Viridiplantae; Streptophyta; Magnoliopsida; Asterales; Asteraceae. The record is from RNAcentral.
AUAAGCAAAUAUAUGAUGUAGAGAGUGUAAUGCACCGGAUCCCAUCAAAACUCUGCAGUUAAGCGUGCUUGGACGAGAGUAGUACUAGGAUGGGUGACCCUCUGAGGAGUUCUCGUGUUGCAACCC